RNAcentral lists this long non-coding RNA (530 nucleotides) under Solanum tuberosum (potato). Its description in RNAcentral is "long non-coding RNA (STUB_LNC008887)". The record is from RNAcentral. Lineage: Eukaryota; Viridiplantae; Streptophyta; Magnoliopsida; Solanales; Solanaceae.
GUCUGUUAGUUUCUUUAGCUCAAAUUAGACUGAGAAUAAUGAUGUGAACGAGAACAAGGAUCACGAGCAAGAAAACGAACAAAACACAUUGUUUCCUAACAGAAGUACAAGAUGGGACAAAGGCCGACAAAGGUGUGUUAUCAACUCUUUCCAGAAUUUCCAGCACUAUAUUGUAGCAUAUUGCAGCAGCUAUAUAAACUGAUCCUAUAACCUGUACACUGAUUCUAUAACCUGCAGACACAAGAUCCUAGCAGGAAAGCUGGAGCCACAACUACACACACAAAUGAGCAACCAAAUCAGGAAAAGACAAAUGAGAUAGGGUCUUGUUAAUUAUGACCUUGAUAACAAAUAAUAAUAUUUGAACAGAUUGAAUAAAUUGGCCCAUCGGGAGGAUAAAAUAAUUUGGUUAUCUGGAAGCUUUUGAUUAAGUUGAUCUAAUUAUACUCCUUUUGUAAUGAAGUAAAAGAUCUGAUUAUACUUGUUGCUCUAAACAAAUCAAGGAGUUCAAUGAUGUUAACAAUAAGUGCAGG